RNAcentral lists this transfer RNA (90 nucleotides) under Roseovarius sp. RNAcentral describes it as "tRNA-Ser". It matches the Rfam family "tRNA". Rfam says of the family: Transfer RNA (tRNA) molecules are approximately 80 nucleotides in length. The record is from RNAcentral. RNAcentral also lists the same sequence under 2 other names. Lineage: Bacteria; Pseudomonadati; Pseudomonadota; Alphaproteobacteria; Rhodobacterales; Roseobacteraceae.
GGAGAGAUGCCGGAGUGGUCGAACGGGGCGGUCUCGAAAACCGUUGUGGGGGCAACCCCACCCAGGGUUCGAAUCCCUGUCUCUCCGCCA